GAAGGACAAAAGUUCUAUCAAAGGCAAAAUGGAUUCUGUUACCCAAACAGCAAUUGAAAAGACAAGGACCAUCCGUUGAUCAAGACAUUCCAGCAGAACUAAGGAGAUUAUUGGAAAAAGAGCGAGAGGAAUGUUUUGUGCAAGUACAGCCAAAACAACAAAAAAGGACACCAAAAGGAAAUAGAAAAGAAUCAGAAGAGAAAACAUGCCAAGGAAAGAAAAGGAAAAAGAAUGUGAAAGAAAUUACCAGAAAAAUUUACUCUUCAUACAUU
Long non-coding RNA from Mytilus trossulus (common blue mussel), 272 nucleotides. RefSeq lists it as uncharacterized. The transcript is spliced from 3 exons. NCBI's taxonomy places the organism in Eukaryota, Metazoa, Mollusca, Bivalvia, Mytilida, Mytilidae. The record is from RefSeq and is a predicted model, not a curated record.